Molecule: transfer RNA, 71 nt
Filed under: Rheum rhabarbarum (garden rhubarb)
Lineage: Eukaryota; Viridiplantae; Streptophyta; Magnoliopsida; Caryophyllales; Polygonaceae
Also listed under: 40 other names
Description: tRNA-Ile
Rfam family: tRNA
About the family: Transfer RNA (tRNA) molecules are approximately 80 nucleotides in length. Their secondary structure includes four short double-helical elements and three loops (D, anti-codon, and T loops).
Source: RNAcentral
GGGCUAUUAGCUCAGCGGUAGAGCGCGCCCCUGAUAAGGCGAGGUCUCUGGUUCAAGUCCAGGAUGGCCCA